Molecule: ribosomal RNA, 662 nt
Filed under: uncultured bacterium
Lineage: Bacteria
Description: bacterial SSU rRNA
Rfam family: Bacterial small subunit ribosomal RNA
Source: RNAcentral
GAUGGGCAUGCGUUUCAUUAGCUAGUUGGCGAGGUAACGGCUCACCAAGGCAACGAUGAAUAGGGGUUCUGAGAGGAAGGUCCCCCACACCGGUACUGAGACACGGACCGGACUCCUACGGGAGGCAGCAGUGAGGAAUAUUGGUCAAUGGUCGAGAGACUGAACCAGCCAAGUCGCGUGAAGGAUGACUGCCCUAUGGGUUGUAAACUUCUUUUAUAAGGGAAUAAAACCUCCCACGUGUGGGAGCUUGUAUGUACUUUAUGAAUAAGGAUCGGCUAACUCCGUGCCAGCAGCCGCGGUAAUACGGAGGAUCCAAGCGUUAUCCGGAUUUAUUGGGUUUAAAGGGUGCGUAGGCGGGAUUAUAAGUCAGUGGUGAAAGUUUGCAGCUUAACUGUAAAAUUGCCGUUGAAACUGUAGUCCUUGAGUGCAAAUGAGGUAUGCGGAAUGUGUUGUGUAGCGGUGAAAUGCUUAGAUAUAACACAGAACCCCGAUUGCGAAGGCAGCAUACUGGGAUGCAACUGACGCUGAGGCACGAAAGCGUGGGGAUCAAACAGGAUUAGAUACCCUGGUAGUCCACGCAGUAAACGAUGAAUACUAACUGUUUGCGAUAUACAGUAAGCGGUACAGCGAAAGCGUUAAGUAUUCCACCUGGGGAGUACGUU